GACGUAGGAGGCGAGCGUUGUCCGGAUUUACUGGGCGUAAAGGGCGUGCAGGCGGCUGGGUCCGUCGGUGGUUUAAUCUCCAGGCUUAACCUGGAGCCGCUGCCGAUACCACCUGGCUUGAGGACGGUAGAGGAGCACGGAAUUCCCGGUGUAGUGGUGAAAUGCGUAGAUAUCGGGAGGAACACUCGUGGCGAAAGCGGUGCUCUGGGCCGCUCCUGACGCUGAGACGCGAAAGCAUGGGGAGCAAACCGG
This 252-nucleotide unclassified non-coding RNA is filed under the name Gammaproteobacteria bacterium. RNAcentral's name for it is "partial 16S ribosomal RNA". It matches the Rfam family "Bacterial small subunit ribosomal RNA", at positions 524 to 776 of the family's 1533-position model. RNAcentral also lists the same sequence under 1 other name. The record is from RNAcentral. Lineage: Bacteria; Pseudomonadati; Pseudomonadota; Gammaproteobacteria.